GUUCGUUCUUAUGUUGUACUGUUAUACCACUGUCCCAGGUUAGGGGAGGGUUGGGAUCUCGCUAACAUGUUUAACCCCGCCACAUUAUUUGUGUAUGUGCUUGUCCCAAGUCAGGAGCCUGUAAUUCAGUGGUUGUCGUUUGUUUAUGUGUUACAUAUUUGUUUUUCGUUCGUUUUUUUACAUAAAUGAGGCCGUUAGUUUUCUCGUUUGAAUUGUUUUACAUUGUCUUAUCGGGGCCUUGUAUAGCUCACUAUGAGGUAUGGGCUUUGCUCAUUGUUGAAGGCCGUACGGUGACCUAUAGUUGUUAAUGUCUGUGUCAUUUUGGUCUUUUGUGGAUAGUUGUCUCAUUGGCAAUC
RNAcentral lists this long non-coding RNA (356 nucleotides) under Mytilus galloprovincialis (Mediterranean mussel). The record is from RNAcentral. Lineage: Eukaryota; Metazoa; Mollusca; Bivalvia; Mytilida; Mytilidae.